RNAcentral lists this unclassified non-coding RNA (239 nucleotides) under uncultured fungus. Its description in RNAcentral is "partial contains 5.8S ribosomal RNA, internal transcribed spacer 2, and large subunit ribosomal RNA". Lineage: Eukaryota; Fungi. The record is from RNAcentral.
AACGCACAUUGCGCCCCCUGGUAUUCCGGGGGGCACACCUGUUCGAGCGCCAUUUCAACCCUCAAGCCCGGCUUGGUGAUGGGCCCCGCCCGCGGGCGGGCCCGAAACUCGCAGGCGUCACCGUCCUGGCCUCAAGCGUAGCAAAACCCUCGCUUGGAUGCCCGGGUGGCGGCCGCCCCGGAACGAUUUUUAUAUACAAGGUUGGCCUCGGAUCAGGUGGGGAUACCCGCUGAACUUAA